UAGUCCACGCCGUAAACGAUGAAUACUAGAUGCAGCGGGUAUCGACCCCUGCUGUGCCGUAGCUAACGCGUUAAGUAUUCCGCCUGGGGAGUACGGCCGCAAGGCUAAAACUCAAAGAAAUUGACGGGGGCCCGCACAAGCGGUGGAGCAUGUGGUUUAAUUCGAUGCAACGCGCAGAACCUCACCUGGGCUUGAAAUCCUCGGACCGCUAUAGAGAUAUAGUUUUCCACUUCGGUGGACUAAGUGACAGGUGCUGCAUGGCUGUCGUCAGCUCGUGUCGUGAGAUGUCAGGUUAAGUCCUAUAACGAGCGCAACCCUUGUUGCUAGUUGCCAGCAUUUAGUUGGGCACUCUAGUGAGACUGCCGGUGUCAAACCGGNGGAAGGUGGGGAUGACGUCAAGUCCUCAUGGCCCUUAUGCCCAGGGCUACACACGUGCUACAAUGGUCGGUACAAAGAGCAGCCAACUCGCGAGAGUGCGCUAAUCUCAAAAACC
RNAcentral lists this ribosomal RNA (493 nucleotides) under uncultured bacterium. RNAcentral describes it as "bacterial SSU rRNA". It matches the Rfam family "Bacterial small subunit ribosomal RNA", at positions 791 to 1283 of the family's 1533-position model. The record is from RNAcentral.